GAUCCCUUAGUCUAAAGGUUAGGACGGCAGCCUCUCAAGCUGCAAAUGUCGAGUUCAAGUCUCGCAGGGGUCA
Non-coding RNA from Firmicutes bacterium CAG:65, 73 nucleotides. The record is from Rfam. Lineage: Bacteria; Bacillati; Bacillota.